This 459-nucleotide ribosomal RNA is filed under the name uncultured bacterium. Its description in RNAcentral is "partial 16S ribosomal RNA". It matches the Rfam family "Bacterial small subunit ribosomal RNA", at positions 338 to 795 of the family's 1533-position model. The record is from RNAcentral.
CCUACGGGAGGCAGCAGUGAGGAAUAUUGGUCAAUGGACGCAAGUCUGAACCAGCCAUGCCGCGUGCAGGAAGAAGGCUCUAUGAGUUGUAAACUGCUUUUGUACGAGGGUAAAUCCCGAUACGUGUAUCGGGUUGAAAGUAUCGUACGAAUAAGGCACGCCUAACUCGGUGCCAGCAGCCGCGGUAAUACGGAGGAUGCGAGCGUUAUCCGGAUUUAUGGGGGUUAAAGGGGGCGCGGUGGGCUUGUUAAGCCGGCGGUAAAAGCCCGGGGCUAAACCCCGGCGAGCCGUUGAAACUGGGGGGCUGGAGUUGGAGAGAGGUACGCGGAAUGCGCGGUGUAGCGGUGAAAUGCUUAGAUAUCGCGCAGAACCCCGAUUGCGAAGGCAGCGUACCGGCUCCACACUGACGCUGAGGCGCGAAAGCGUGGGUAUCGAACAGGAUUAGAUACCCGAGUAGUC